CGAACGGGUGAGUAACACGUGAGUAACCUGCCCUUGACUCUGGGAUAAGCGUUGGAAACGACGUCUAAUACCGGAUACGAGCUUCCACCGCAUGGUGAGUUGCUGGAAAGAAUUUUGGUCAAGGAUGGACUCGCGGCCUAUCAGCUUGUUGGUGAGGUAAUGGCUCACCAAGGCGACGACGGGUAGCCGGCCUGAGAGGGUGACCGGCCACACUGGGACUGAGACACGGCCCAGACUCCUACGGGAGGCAGCAGUGGGGAAUAUUGCACAAUGGGCGAAAGCCUGAUGCAGCAACGCCGCGUGAGGGACGACGGCCUUCGGGUUGUAAACCUCUUUUAGCAGGGAAGAAGCGAAAGUGACGGUACCUGCAGAAAAAGCACCGGCUAACUACGUGCCAGCAGCCGCGGUAAUACGUAGGGUGCAAGCGUUGUCCGGAAUUAUUGGGCGUAAAGAGCUCGUAGGCGGUUUGUCGCGUCUGCUGUGAAAUCCCGAGGCUCAACCUCGGGUCUGCAGUGGGUACGGGCAGACUAGAGUGCGGUAGGGGAGAUUGGAAUUCCUGGUGUAGCGGUGGAAUGCGCAGAUAUCAGGAGGAACACCGAUGGCGAAGGCAGAUCUCUGGGCCGCUACUGACGCUGAGGAGCGAAAGGGUGGGGAGCAAACAGGCUUAGAUACCCUGGUAGUCCACCCCGUAAACGUUGGGCGCUAGAUGUGGGGACCAUUCCACGGUUUCCGUGUCGUAGCUAACGCAUUAAGCGCCCCGCCUGGGGAGUACGGCCGCAAGGCUAAAACUCAAAGGAAUUGACGGGGGCCCGCACAAGCGGCGGAGCAUGCGGAUUAAUUCGAUGCAACGCGAAGAACCUUACCAAGGCUUGACAUAUACGAGAACGGGCCAGAAAUGGUCAACUCUUUGGACACUCGUAAACAGGUGGUGCAUGGUUGUCGUCAGCUCGUGUCGUGAGAUGUUGGGUUAAGUCCCGCAACGAGCGCAACCCUCGUUCUAUGUUGCCAGCACGUAAUGGUGGGAACUCAUGGGAUACUGCCGGGGUCAACUCGGAGGAAGGUGGGGACGACGUCAAAUCAUCAUGCCCCUUAUGUCUUGGGCUUCACGCAUGCUACAAUGGCCAGUACAAAGGGCUGCAAUACCGUAAGGUGGAGCGAAUCCCAAAAAGCUGGUCCCAGUUCGGAUUGAGGUCUGCAACUCGACCUCAUGAAGUCGGAGUCGCUAGUAAUCGCAGAUCAGCAACGCUGCGGUGAAUACGUUCCCGGGCCUUGUACACACCGCCCGUCAAGUCAUGAAAGUCGG
RNAcentral lists this ribosomal RNA (1303 nucleotides) under Plantibacter flavus. Its description in RNAcentral is "bacterial SSU rRNA". It matches the Rfam family "Bacterial small subunit ribosomal RNA", at positions 99 to 1414 of the family's 1533-position model. Lineage: Bacteria; Bacillati; Actinomycetota; Actinomycetes; Micrococcales; Microbacteriaceae. The record is from RNAcentral.